CCUACGGGUGGCUGCAGUAGGGAAUAUUGCUCAAUGGGGGAAACCCUGAAGCAGCAACGCCGCGUGAGCGAUGAAGGUUUUAGGAUUGUAAACUCCUUUUGUUAGAGAAGAUUAUGACGGUAUCUAACGAAUAAGCCCCGGCUAACUCCGUGCCAGCAGCCGCGGUAAUACGUAGGGUGCAAGCGUUACUCGGAAUCACUGGGCGUAAAGGGUGCGUAGGCGGGUUAAUAAGUCAGAUGUGAAAUGCUGUAGCUUAACUAGAGAUAUGCCUUUGAAACUGUUACUCUGGAGGGUGGGAGAGGUAGGUGGAAUUCUUGGUGUAGGGGUAAAAUCCGUAGAGAUUAAGAGGAAUACUCAUUGCGAAGGCGACCUGCUGGAACAUUACUGACGCUGAGGCACGAAAGCGUGGGGAGCAAACAGGAUUAGAUACCCGAGUAGUC
Molecule: ribosomal RNA, 440 nt
Filed under: uncultured bacterium
Lineage: Bacteria
Description: partial 16S ribosomal RNA
Rfam family: Bacterial small subunit ribosomal RNA
Source: RNAcentral